This 513-nucleotide ribosomal RNA is filed under the name uncultured Bacillota bacterium. Its description in RNAcentral is "bacterial SSU rRNA". It matches the Rfam family "Bacterial small subunit ribosomal RNA", at positions 392 to 896 of the family's 1533-position model. The record is from RNAcentral. Lineage: Bacteria; Bacillati; Bacillota.
CAACGCCGCGUGAGUGAUGAAGGCUUUCGGGUCGUAAAACUCUGUUGUUAGGGAAGAACAAGUACGAGAGUAACUGCUCGUACCUUGACGGUACCUAACCAGAAAGCCACGGCUAACUACGUGCCAGCAGCCGCGGUAAUACGUAGGUGGCAAGCGUUAUCCGGAAUUAUUGGGCGUAAAGCGCGCGCAGGCGGUUUCUUAAGUCUGAUGUGAAAGCCCACGGCUCAACCGUGGAGGGUCAUUGGAAACUGGGGAACUUGAGUGCAGAAGAGAAAAGCGGAAUUCCACGUGUAGCGGUGAAAUGCGUAGAGAUGUGGAGGAACACCAGUGGCGAAGGCGGCUUUUUGGUCUGUAACUGACGCUGAGGCGCGAAAGCGUGGGGAGCAAACAGGAUUAGAUACCCUGGUAGUCCACGCCGUAAACGAUGAGUGCUAAGUGUUAGAGGGUUUCCGCCCUUUAGUGCUGCAGCUAACGCAUUAAGCACUCCGCCUGGGGAGUACGGUCGCAAGACUG